This is a non-coding RNA of Pelobates cultripes (western spadefoot toad), 311 nucleotides long. Lineage: Eukaryota; Metazoa; Chordata; Amphibia; Anura; Pelobatidae. The record is from the annotation of a GenBank genome assembly.
UUUAAAUGUUUUGCUUUUAUUCUCAUAUUGUUGUAGGUCAGUUUAUAUUUAAAUAGUCAUUCGUGUUAACUAAUAAAAUGUAAUCCUUCCGUAUACUUGAACAUUAAUUUUAAAAAUGACAUACAUUGCGUUUGACCUUUAACCCCUUAAAGACACAUGACAGAAGUUGGGUCCUUAAGGGGUUAAGUAAGCAACGUUUUGGACUUGGUCACAAUAAAGUUAAAACGUGAGAUAUGAAUUUCUGCCCGAGCUAACCAGAGAAUUGCAAUGUGCGGGGUCUUAUCUAAUCAGGCCCAAUGUGUGUUAUAUAU